Molecule: ribosomal RNA, 216 nt
Filed under: Glomeromycotina sp.
Lineage: Eukaryota; Fungi; Glomeromycota
Description: partial small subunit ribosomal RNA
Rfam family: Eukaryotic small subunit ribosomal RNA (bases 40-216)
Source: RNAcentral
GGGUCAGUAGGUUGGUCGUGCCACCGGUACGUACUGGUCUCACUGAUUCCUCCUUCCUGAAGAACCGUAAUGCCAUUAAUUUGGUGUUGCGGGGAAACAGGACUGUUACUUUGAAAAAAUUAGAGUGUUUAAAGCAAGCUAACGCUUGAAUUCACUAGCAUGGAAUAAUGAAAUAGGACGAUCGAUCCUAUUUUGUUGGUUUCUAGGAUUGACGUA